UGGGGAAUAUUGGACAAUGGGCGAAAGCCUGAUCCAGCCAUGCCGCGUGUGUGAAGAAAGCCUUUUGGUUGUAAAGCACUUUAAGUGGGGAGGAAAAGCUUAUGGUUAAUACCCAUAAGCCCUGACGUUACCCACAGAAUAAGCACCGGCUAACUCUGUGCCAGCAGCCGCGGUAAUACAGAGGGUGCAAGCGUUAAUCGGAAUUACUGGGCGUAAAGCGCGCGUAGGUGGUUAUUUAAGUCAGAUGUGAAAGCCCCGGGCUUAACCUGGGAACUGCAUCUGAUACUGGAUAACUAGAGUAGGUGAGAGGGGAGUAGAAUUCCAGGUGUAGCGGUGAAAUGCGUAGAGAUCUGGAGGAAUACCGAUGGCGAAGGCAGCUCCCUGGUAUCAUACUGACACUGAGGUGCGAAAGCGUGGGUAGCAAACAGGAUUAGAUACCCUGGUAGUCCACGCCGUAAACGAUGUCUACCAGUCGUUGGGUCUUUUAAAGACUUAGUGACGCAGUUAACGCAAUAAGUAGACCGCCUGGGGAGUACGGCCGCAAGGUUA
RNAcentral lists this ribosomal RNA (549 nucleotides) under uncultured bacterium. Its description in RNAcentral is "bacterial SSU rRNA". It matches the Rfam family "Bacterial small subunit ribosomal RNA", at positions 355 to 896 of the family's 1533-position model. The record is from RNAcentral.